GGAUAUGAUCAUUUGACUCGAUGGAACGCAGUUUUCCCUGCAAAAUGCAAGAUCAGAACAUCCAUGUCAAACUCUGCAAGACAACUAUGGAAUCACUAAAAUUAGAUGAGUAGCCUAAUUAACAAAUUUUCCCUACUAAUUCUCUAAUUAUUGGGAAAAUCUUAGGUGUUUAUUCAACUUCAACAGCCAGUAACUCCCGAGGCUACGUGUGGUUUUCCUCACUCCCCGCAGCAAUCUUACCGAAUUACAGGUUUAUUAACAAUUAGUGAUUAGCAUCCACACAGCUCUGUCU
This 292-nucleotide long non-coding RNA is filed under the name Populus trichocarpa (black cottonwood). RNAcentral's name for it is "long non-coding RNA (PTRI_LNC002190)". The record is from RNAcentral. Lineage: Eukaryota; Viridiplantae; Streptophyta; Magnoliopsida; Malpighiales; Salicaceae.